RNAcentral lists this long non-coding RNA (525 nucleotides) under Salvia miltiorrhiza (redroot sage). Its description in RNAcentral is "long non-coding RNA (SMIL_LNC002753)". Lineage: Eukaryota; Viridiplantae; Streptophyta; Magnoliopsida; Lamiales; Lamiaceae. The record is from RNAcentral.
AAAGUUUCAGAUAUGAUAGAUUACAAGAGAACUUAGUCUGCAGACGAACUUUAAGAAUCACAAAUGAACUUAGUAAGCUUGGGCCUUUUUAGCGAAAAACUCCCUUGCUGUACUGUUUAUGAUGGCAUGACAAUUUACACUUUUGAAGCAUGUAUUUUUAUACUUAGGCAUACGUGCCCACUGAGUACUUUUGUACUCAGCCCUGCAUAUAUUUCUAAAUGUGCAGGUUGAGUAGCUGCCGAUGGUGAUGAAGUGACGAGCGGGACUCUUUUGUCUUAUUAUGUAUUAAUGAACUCUAGGGAUACAUGUCUUCAUACAUGUAAUCAGAACCUUAUUCCGCUGCGUACUCAGAAGUUUUAUGUUAUUUUGGCUAAGUCGGAGUUAUCCGAACUUACUAGUUAUUUGAGUCUAUACGACUAAACCUUCGUUAUAUUAUAAAUAUCCCUUUUAUAAAAAAAUGAUGAAAUGCGAUCCUUCCUUGUUUGAUUAUCCCCCUUUCUACCCCGCUCCUAAUCUCCCUCCAUU